GACGAGGGCGCAAGCGUUGUCCGGAUUUAUUGGGCGUAAAGAGCUCGUAGGCGGCUUGUCGCGUCGUGUGUGAAAUCUCAGGGCUCAACUCUGACAUUGCAUACGAUACGGGCAGGCUUGAGUUCGGUAGGGGAGACUGGAAUUCCUGGUGUAGCGGUGAAAUGCGCAGAUAAUCAGGAGGAACACCGGUGGCGAAGGCGGGUCUCUGGGCCGAUACUGACGCUGAGGAGCGAAAGCGUGGGGAGCGAACAGG
Molecule: ribosomal RNA, 253 nt
Filed under: uncultured bacterium
Lineage: Bacteria
Description: partial 16S ribosomal RNA
Rfam family: Bacterial small subunit ribosomal RNA
Source: RNAcentral